CAGUCGCCGCGGGAAUACGUAGGGGGCAAGCGUUAUCCGGAAUUACUGGGUGUAAAGGGAGCGUAGACGGUUAAACAAGUCUGAAGUGAAAUGCCGGGGCUCAACCCCGGAGCUGCUUUGGGAACUGUAGAACUGGAGUGUCGGAGGGGUAAGCGGAAUUCCCAGUGUAGCGGUGAAAUGCGUAGAUAUUGGGAGGAACACCGGCGGCGAAGGCGGCUUACUGGACGACAACUGACGUUGAGGCUUGAAGGCGUGGGUAGCAAACAGGAUUAGAUACCCCCGUAGUCCCUGUCUCUUAUAC
Molecule: ribosomal RNA, 301 nt
Filed under: uncultured bacterium
Lineage: Bacteria
Description: partial 16S ribosomal RNA
Rfam family: Bacterial small subunit ribosomal RNA
Source: RNAcentral